UGGGGAAUAUUGCACAAUGGGCGCAAGCCUGAUGCAGCCAUGCCGCGUGUGUGAAGAAGGCCUUCGGGUUGUAAAGCACUUUCAGCGGGGAGGAAGGCGUUAAGGUUAAUAACCUUGGCGAUUGACGUUACCCGCAGAAGAAGCACCGGCUAACUCCGUGCCAGCAGCCGCGGUAAUACGGAGGGUGCAAGCGUUAAUCGGAAUUACUGGGCGUAAAGCGCACGCAGGCGGUCUGUCAAGUCGGAUGUGAAAUCCCCGGGCUCAACCUGGGAAGUGCGUUCGAAACUGGCAGGCUAGGUUCUUGUAGAGGGGGGUAGAAUUCCAGGUGUAGCGGUGAAAUGCGUAGGGAUCUGGAGGAAUACCGGUGGCGAAGGCGGCCCCCUGGACAAAGACUGACGCUCAGGUGCGAAAGCGUGGGGGGCAAACAGG
Molecule: ribosomal RNA, 429 nt
Filed under: Chloroflexota bacterium
Lineage: Bacteria; Bacillati; Chloroflexota
Description: Chloroflexi bacterium partial 16S ribosomal RNA
Rfam family: Bacterial small subunit ribosomal RNA
Source: RNAcentral